Molecule: long non-coding RNA, 5736 nt
Filed under: Salvia miltiorrhiza (redroot sage)
Lineage: Eukaryota; Viridiplantae; Streptophyta; Magnoliopsida; Lamiales; Lamiaceae
Description: long non-coding RNA (SMIL_LNC004881)
Source: RNAcentral
UCGCUUAUAAAAGAGCUUAAAGGUCACUUGUCCCUUCCACUUAUACAAGAGCAUAAAGCUGACGUGUCCUGGUUGCUUGUAAUAUAGCUUAUAACUGACUUGUCCCUCUCUCUCUCUUAUAAAAGAGCUUAAACCUCACGUCUCCCUGUCACUUAUAAAAGAGCAUUCAGCUCACUUGUCUAUGUCGCUUAAAAAGAGCUCAAAGCUCAUGUGUCCAUGUCCCUUAUAAAAGAGCAUGAAGCGCACGUGUCUCUGUGGCCUAUAAAAGAGCUUAAAGCUCACUUCUCCCUGUUGCUUAUCAAAGAGCUUAAAAGUUACUUGUCCCUCCCCAUUUGUAAAUGUCCCUGACGUUUAUAAAAUUGCAUAUAGCUCAUGUGUCCUUGAUGCUUGUAAAAGAGCUUAAAGCUCACGUGUCUAUAUCGCUUAUAAAAGAGCUUAAGGCUCAUGUGUCUCUAUUGCUUAAGGCUCAUGUGUCCCUAUUGUUUAUAAAAGAGCUUAACGGUCACACGUCUCUCUUGCUUAUAAAAGAGCUUAAUGCUCAUUUAUCCUAAUGAUUAUGAAGUAGCACAAUGCUUAUGAAAGAACUUGCUCAAAUGUCCAUGUUGGUUAUGAAAAGCGUCUAAUGCUCAGGUAUCACUCAUAGCUUGAUUCUCACAUGUCCCUACUGCUUAUGAAAGAGCUUAAAGCUCACUUAUCGUGUGGCUUAUGAAAGAGCCUAAAGCUCACUUGCCCUUGUUACUUAUAAAGAGCAUAAAGCUCACUUGCCCAUGCUGCUUAUUGAAAACUUAAAGCUCACUUGUCCCUGUCAUUUGUAAAAGAACUUAAAGCUCACUUAUCCUCAUUGUUAAUUGAAGAGCUUAAAGCAUAAAGCUCACUUGUCCCUGCUGCAUAUUAAACAGCAUAAAGCUCGCGUGUCCCUAUGGCUUAUAGAAAAGCUUGAAGGUUAGUUGUCCCAGUCUCUUAUAGAAGAGUUUAAAGCUCACGCUCCCUGUUGCUUAUAAAAGAGAUUAAAAUAAUCUUGUCCAUGUCCCUAAUAGAACAACUUAAAGCUCACAUAAAAGAGCAUGUAGCUCACGUGUCCAUAUGGAUAUAAAAUAGCAUAAAGCUCAACGUUUCCUUCCCAUUUAUGAAAAAGCUUAGAGGUCACUUGUCCCUCUCGCUUAUAAAAGGGCUUAAAGCUCACGGGUCCCUGUUGUUUAAUAUAAGAGCUUAAAGCUCACUUUUCUCUGCCACUCGUAAAAGACCAUAAAGCUUACUUGCUCCUGCCGCUUAUAAAAGAGCGUAAAGCUCACUUGUCCCUGUCAUUUAUGAAAGAGUUUUAACGCUCACUUGUUCCCAUCAUUAAUUAAAGAGCUUGAAGCAUAACGCUCACUUGUCCCUGCUGCUUAUUAAAGAGCAUAAAGCCCACUUGUCCCUCUGGCUUAUGGAAAAGCUUAAAGGUUGCUUGUCCCUGUCUCCUAUAGAAGAGUUUAAAGCUCAUGUGUCCAUGUUGCUUAUAAAAGAGAUUAAUAUAAACUUGUCCAUGUCCCUACUAAAAUAACUUAAAGCUCACAUAAAAGAGCAUGACGCUCACGUGUCCCGAUGUUGAUUAUAAAAGAGCUUAAAGCUCACUUGUCCUCGUCGCUUGCAAAAGAGCUAAAGCUCACUUGUCCCCCCUCCCCCCGCGCUUAUAAAAGAACUUAAAAGCUCACUUGUCUCUGCCGCUUAUAGAAGAGCUCAAAGUUCUGGGGUCUGUGUAUAUAAAAGAGCUUAAAGCUCAUGUGUCCCGGUUGCUUAUAAAAGAGCUUAAAGCUCACUUGUCCCUCUCGUUUAUAAAAAAGAGCAUAAAGGUCACAUGUCUUUAUCGCUUCUUAAAGAGCUUAAAGCUCACUUGUCCCUAUGGCUUAUAAAAGAGCUUGAAGCUCAUUCGUCCUGCUGCUUAUAAAAGAGUAGGAAGCUCACGUGUCAAUGUGGCUCAUAAAAGAGCUUAAAGUUUGCUUGUCUCUGUAGCUUAUAAAAGGGCUUAAAGCUGAAAGCUCAUGUGUCCUAUUGGCUUAUAAAAGAGUUUAAAGCUCACGUGUCCCUUCUGUUCAUAAAAGAGUUUAGUGCUCAUGUGUCCCUCUUACUUACAAAAGAGCGCAAUGCUCAUGUGUCACUCCUAAGCAAGAGCUUAAUGCUCACAUGUCCCUGGUGCUUAUAAAAGAGCUUAAAGCUCAUGUGUCCCGGUUGCUUAUAAAAGUGCUUAACACUCACGUGUCCUUGCUUAAGAAAGAGUUUAAUGCUCAUAACCCAAUGAUUACGAAAUAGCUUGAUGAUCAUGUGUGAAAGCGCUUAAUGCUCAAAUGUCCCUGUUGCUUAUCUAAAAACUUUCUCGAGUGUCCCUGUUGCAUAUGAAAAGAGCUUAAUGCGCACGUAUCCCUCAGAGCUGAUGCUCACAUGUCCCUCAUGUGUCCCUGUGGCAUAUGAAAGAGCUUACAGCUCACUUGUCCCUAUCAAUUAUAAAAGUGCUUAAAGCUCACUUGUGCCUAUUCCUUAUUAAAGCGCCUAAAGCUUACGUGUUCCCUGUUGCUGAUAAAAGAGUUUCAAGUUUACUUGCCCCCAUCGCUUAUAAAAGAGCUUAAAGCUCACAUAAAAUAGCAUGAAGCUCACUUGUCCUUGUGAAUUAUAAAAGAGUUUAGAGCUCACUUGUCGGUGUCGCUUAUAAAAGAGCUUAAAGCUCACUUGUCCCUCCCACUUAUACAAGAGCAUAAAGCUCACGUGUCCUGGUUGCUUGUAAAAUAGCUUAUAGCUGACUUGUCCCUCUCUCUCGCUCUCUUAUAAAAGAGCUUAAACCUCACGUCUCCCUGUCACUUAUGAAAGAGCAUUCAGCUCACUUGUCUAUGUCACUUAUAAAGAGCUCAAAGCUCAUGUGUCUAUGUCCCUUAUAAAAGAGCAUGAAGCGCACGUGUCUCUGUGGCCUAUAAAAGAGCUUAAAGCUCACUUCUCCCUGUUGCUUAUCAAAGAGCUUAAAAGUUACUUGUCCCUCCCCAUUUGUAAAUGUCCCUGUCGUUUAUAAAAUUGCAUAUAGCUCAUGUGUCCUUGAUGCUUGUAAAAGAGCUUAAAGCUCACGUGUCUAUAUCGCUUAUAAAAGAGCUUAAAGCUCUAUAUCGCUUAUAAAAGGCUUAAAGCUCAUGUGUCUCUAUUGCUAAGGCUCAUGUGUCCCUAUUGUUUAUAAAAGAGCUUAACGGCACAGUUACUCUUGCUUAUAAAAGAGCUUAAUGCUCAUUUAUCCUAAUGAUUAUGAAGUAGCACAAUGCUUAUGAAAGAACUUGCUCAAAUGUCCAUGUUGCUUAUGAAAAGCGUCUAAUGCUCAGGUAUCACUCAUAGCUUGAUUCUCACAUGUCCCUACUGCUUAUGAAAGAGCUUAAAGCUCACUUAUCGUGUGGCUUAUGAAAGAGCCUAAAGCUCACUUGCCCUUGUUACUUAUAAAAUAGCAUAAAGCUCACUUGCCCAUGCUGCUUAUUGAAAAACUUUAAAGCUCACUUGUCCCUGUCAUUUGUAAAAGAACUUAAAGCUCACUUAUCCUCAUUGUUAAUUGAAGAGCUUAAAGAUAAAGCUCACUUAGGUCCCUCUGCAUAUUAAACACUAAAGCUCGCGUGUCCCUAUGGCUUAUAGAAAGCUUGAAGGUUAGUUGUCCCAGUCUCUUAUAAAAGAGUUUAAAGCUGACGCUCCCUGUUGCUUAUAAAAGAGAUUAAAAUAAUCUUGUCCAUGUCCCUAAUAGAACAUCUUAAAGUCACAUAAAAGAGAUGAGCUCACGUGUCCAUAUGGAUAUAAAAUAGCAUAAAGCUCAACGUUUCCUUCCCAUUUAUGAAAAAGCUUAGAGGUCACUUGUCUCUCUCGCUUAUAAAAGGGCUUAAAGCUCACGGGUCCCUGUUGUUUAAUAUAAGAGCUUAAAGUUCACCUUUCUCUGCCACUCGUAAAAGACCGUAAAGCUUACUUGCUCCUGCCGCUUAUAAAAGAGCGUAAAACUCACUUGUCCCUGUCAUUUAUGAAAGAGUUUUAACGAUCACUUGUUCCCAUCAUUAAUUAAAGAGCUUGAAGCAUAACGCUCACUUGUCCCUGCUGCUUAUUAAACAACAUAAAGCCCACUUGUCCCUCUGGCUUAUGGAAAAGCUUAAAGGUUGCUCGUCCCUGUCUCCUAUAGAAGAGUUUAAAGCUCAUGUGUCCAUGUUGCUACUAAAAUAACUUAAAGCUCACAUAACAGAGCAUGACGCUCACAUAUCCCGAUGUUGAUUAUAAAAGAGCUUAAAGCUCACUUGUCCUCGUCGCUUGCAAAAGAGCUUAAAGCUCACUUGUCCUCGUCGCUUGCAAAAGAGCUAAAGCUCACUUGUCCCCCAACGCCCCCGCUUAUAAAGAGCUUAAAAGCUCACUGUCUCUGCGCUUAUAAAGAGUUAAAGUUCUGGGGUCUGUAUAAAAGAGCUUAAAGCUCACUUGUCCCCUCGUUUAUAAAAAAGAGCAUAAAGGUCACAUGUCUUUAUCGCUUCUUAAAGAGCUUAAAGCUACUUGUCCCUAUGGCUUAUAAAAGAGCUUGAAGCUCAUUCGUCCUGCUGUUAAAAGAGUAUGAAGUUCACGUGUCCCUGUGGCUCAUAAAAGAGCUUAAACUUUGCUUCUCCCUGUAGCUUAUAAGGCGUAAAGAACUAUGUCAGUGUUCCUAUGGUAUAAAGUUUAAAGCUCACGUGUCCCUUCUGUUCACAGAAGAGUUUAGUGCUCAUGUGUCCCUCUUACUUACAAAAGAGCGCAAUGCUCAUGUGUCACUCCUAAGCAAGAGCUUAAUGCUCACAUGUCCCUGGUGCUUAUAAAAGAGCUUAAAGCUCAUGUGUCCCGGUUGCUUAUAAAAGUGCUUAAGACUCACGUGUCCUUGCUUAAAAUGCUCAUAACCCAAUGAUUACGAAAUAGCUUGAUGAUCAUGUGUGAAAGCGCUUGAUGCUCAAAUGUCCCUGUUGCUUAUCUAAAAACUUUCUCGAGUGUCCCUGUUGCAUAUGAAAAGAGCUUAAUGCGCACGUAUCCCUCAGAGCUGAUGCUCACAUGUCCCUCAUGUGUCCCUGUGGCAUAUGAAAGAGCUUACAGCUCACUUGUCCCUAUCAAUUAUAACAGAGCUUAAAGCUCACUUGUCCCUAUUCCUUAUUAAAGCGCCUAAAGCUUACGUGUUCCGUGUUGCUUAUAAAAGAGUUUCAAGUUUACUUGCCCCCAUCACUUAUAAAAGAGCUUAAAGCUCACAUAAAAUAGCAUGAAGCUCACUUGUCCUUGUGAAUUAUAAAAGAGUUUAGAGCUCACUUGUCGGUGUCGCUUAUAAAAGAGCUUAAAGCUCACUUGUCCCUACUUAUACAAGAGCAUAAAGCUACGUGUCCUGGUUGCUUGUAAAUAGCUUAUAGAUUCCUCUCUCUCUCUUAUAAAAGAGCUUAAACCUCACGUCUCCCUGUCACUUAUAAAAGAGCAUUCAGCUCACUUGUCUAUGUCUUAAAAGAGCUCAAAGCUCAUGUGUCCAUGUCCCUUAUAAAAGAGCAUGAAGCGCACGUGUCUCUGUGGCCUAUAAAAGAGCUUAAAGCUCACUUCUCCCUGUUGCUUAUCAAAGAGCUUAAAAGUUACUUGUCCCUCCCCAUUUGUAAAUGUCCCUGCGUUUAUAAAAUUGCAUAUAGCUCAUGUGUCCUUGAUGCUUGUAAAAGAGCUUAAAGCUCACGUGUCUAUAUCGCUUAUAAAAGAGCUUAAGGCUCAUGUGUC